GAUGAAGAACGUAGCGAAAUGCGAUAAGUAAUGCGAAUUGCAGAAUUCAGUGAAUCAUCGAAUCUUUGAACGCACAUUGCGCCCGCCAGUAUUCUGGCGGGCAUGCCUGUCUGAGCGUCGUUUCGACCCUCGCGCCCGGCUUCUGUCGGGGGCGGUGUUGGGGAUCGGCCACUCCCUUCAGUGGGAGGCCGGCCCCUAAAUUCAGUGGCGACCACGCUGUAGCCUCCCCUGCGUAGUACUAAAACCACCUCGCAGGCGGAGAGCGGUGCGGCCCGCCGUAAAACCCCCCAACUUUUACAAGGUCGACCUCAGAUCAGGUAGGAAUACCCGCUGAACUUAAGCAUAUCAAUAAGCGGAGGA
Molecule: unclassified non-coding RNA, 360 nt
Filed under: soil metagenome
Description: partial contains 5.8S ribosomal RNA, internal transcribed spacer 2, and large subunit ribosomal RNA
Rfam family: 5.8S ribosomal RNA (bases 1-120)
Source: RNAcentral